This 461-nucleotide ribosomal RNA is filed under the name uncultured bacterium. RNAcentral describes it as "partial 16S ribosomal RNA". It matches the Rfam family "Bacterial small subunit ribosomal RNA", at positions 338 to 795 of the family's 1533-position model. The record is from RNAcentral.
CCUACGGGAGGCAGCAGUGAGGAAUAUUGGUCAAUGGGCGGAAGCCUGAACCAGCCAAGUCGCGUGAGGGAAUAAGGCCCUACGGGUUGUAAACCUCUUUUGCCGGGGAGUAAGGGCGGGGACGUGUCCCGGCCCGGAGAGUACCUGGAGAAAAAGCACCGGUUAACUCCGUGCCAGCAGCCGCGGUAAUACGGAGGAUGCGAGCGUUAUCCGGAUUUAUUGGGUUUAAAGGGUGCGUAGGCUGUCGGAUAAGUUAGAGGUGAAAUCCCGAGGCUCAACUUCGGAAUUGCCUCUGAUACUGUUCGGCUAGAGAGUAGUUGCGGUAGGCGGAAUGUAUGGUGUAGCGGUGAAAUGCUUAGAGAUCAUACAGAACACCGAUUGCGAAGGCAGCUUACCAGGCUACUUCUGACGUUGAGGCACGAAAGCGUGGGGAGCAAACAGGAUUAGAUACCCUAGUAGUC